Sipha flava (yellow sugarcane aphid) is the source of this 454-nucleotide long non-coding RNA. RefSeq lists it as uncharacterized. NCBI's taxonomy places the organism in Eukaryota, Metazoa, Arthropoda, Insecta, Hemiptera, Aphididae. The record is from RefSeq and is a predicted model, not a curated record. The transcript has 3 exons.
UAGCAAAAUUAAAUUUUAUGUAUGAUAUCCGAGCAGUGAGAAACAUAUUUGAAUCUUACUUUGGAUGUUCUAGAAGGAACCAAGAAAAAUACGCAUUUACUAGAACUUCCAAGCUCUACUUAUCGGACAUCUGAUAAAAUACAAACAUCUUAGGUAAACAUUUAAAUGGUACAAGUUAUAAAGAAUCCAUCAUGGUUUUACUAAAAACACGUCUCGAGAGUUGUCGUUUAGACUUAUUGUCAGUUUAUUAAUUUCAUUUAUGGAUAGAUGAGAUAAUAUUGUUCAAAGCACAAAAUAUUGAUACGGGCCACGGGGACGCCUUUCACCGACAUCGGACAUAUUCAUAUUUCAGUAAUCGCUGUGUUUCUCAACGGUUGACAGUCCAAACACGUUCUAUUUACUAUUUUUUUUAAAAAAUGCCUAAAGUAAGUGCCCUGAUAAGAAAACCUAUAAA